GAAAUGCGAUAAGUAAUGUGAAUUGCAGACGCUUUGAACGCCAAACUUUCGAACGCACAUUGCGCCAUAGGAGUCUUACCCUAUGGCACAUCUGGUUGAGGGUCGUGAUCAAACACAGCAGGACAGCAGCUGUAAUAGAGCUAGUUGGCGAAUCAUCAGACCGGCAUACGCCUUAUUGCCGGGGGUGUUUUGUCAUAAUGCUUUAGAGGGUCCUUCCUUACCACAGGGAUGGGCAGCCAAUUCGACUGACUUGUGGUCCGGCCUCCGGGUAUUGUACAAACGUCUAACGUAUAUACUCGGUUGGUUGUGAGGCCGUCGCUUGGCUUAACCUAUACGUGCCUGGUAGUAGAUUCCGUUAUAAACGGAUUUCCCGACCUCAACUCAGGUGUGAUUACCCGCUGAAAUUAA
This 408-nucleotide unclassified non-coding RNA is filed under the name uncultured Verrucariaceae. RNAcentral describes it as "sequence contains ITS1". The stretch from base 1 to 105 matches the Rfam family "5.8S ribosomal RNA", at positions 50 to 154 of the family's 154-position model. Lineage: Eukaryota; Fungi; Ascomycota; Eurotiomycetes; Verrucariales. The record is from RNAcentral.